This 68-nucleotide transfer RNA is filed under the name Menida violacea. Its description in RNAcentral is "tRNA-Ala". The record is from RNAcentral. Lineage: Eukaryota; Metazoa; Arthropoda; Insecta; Hemiptera; Pentatomidae. RNAcentral also lists the same sequence under 1 other name.
GGGGAUAUAGUUCAAAUAAUAACAUUUAAUUUGCAAUUAAAAAUUACUUAAAUAAAAAGUUUUCCUCA